UUACAGAAAGAUAGUCUUAUAGUAGUCAAGUCUUAUUAUUCCAAUAAAAAGCGAAGUAGGGAAAGUAGGAAGUAGGCUAGUCGAGGAAUCAAAUUUCAACUAUUAACCAUAUUUAUGGCUUUCACUUAUGGGUGAGGUCUUUGAGUAAUGCGAUAUCUAUCCUAACUAUGAUCGCCCCGUAUGGGGCUUCGCUAAACAUCUUGUGUUGCUCAUUUUCCCGAAAACGCUUGUCACUGAUUAGCCCAACAGAUUCGGAAGUCUUUUACACGCAAUACAUAGUAUGAGUGUGUGCAUGUACACAUAGUACACAUAUUUGUGGGACUUUUGUUAAACACUUGAGCGGAUUAUCAUGAAUAAGGUUGGAUUAGAGGAGCACAGGGAAACAGAGGAAUGGACCGAAACCAAAUAGAGCCAGGCGCGUGCAUUUGACAUUUCAAACUGUGAUAAUUCAAUUGUGGGCUGUGUACUAUUAGUAGCCCGACGAAUAUCUGGAUUAGCUAGCUCCUCGAUCAGAGCUCUCCCGUCAUAAAAAACGAACACAACUAAUAAACAAAAUAAGUGUAGCGCCUCUGCAGGCUAUACAUAUGUAGUAUCUGUGCUCCUCUGAUCCUUCAGAAAUCAGAAACAACUCUUGUGGAACACAACACCGGAAUAUUGUAUCUAAAAAAGAACGUACUGCUUGCGCGCCCCAAGAGAUUUACUUGUGCGAGUAUCCCGCUCUAUGGAGAACCAUAGAGAACCAGACGCACUCAAAACCCGAAUCGGACUGAAUUUGAUUUUCAUCGGCGGGGCAUGCACUACCGAAAAGCUUUAAUAAAAUAAUAAAACAACAAAAUAAACACAAAUAUGUAAAUCCAAAAA
Molecule: long non-coding RNA, 861 nt
Organism: Drosophila miranda
Lineage: Eukaryota; Metazoa; Arthropoda; Insecta; Diptera; Drosophilidae
Exons: 2
Source: RefSeq, a predicted model, not a curated record